This 460-nucleotide ribosomal RNA is filed under the name Thraustochytriidae sp. RNAcentral describes it as "SSU rRNA". It matches the Rfam family "Eukaryotic small subunit ribosomal RNA", at positions 994 to 1449 of the family's 1831-position model. Lineage: Eukaryota; Bigyra; Thraustochytrida; Thraustochytriidae. The record is from RNAcentral.
GGGAUCGAAGAUGAUUAGAUACCAUCGUAGUCUUAACCGUAAACUAUGCCGACUUGCGAUUGUCCGAUGUUUAUUGUAGACUUGGGCAGCAGCACAUGAGAAAUCAAAGUUUUUGGGUUCCGGGGGGAGUAUGGUCGCAAGGCUGAAACUUAAAGGAAUUGACGGAAGGGCACACCAGGAGUGGAGCCUGCGGCUUAAUUUGACUCAACACGGGGAAACUUACCAGGUCCAGACUUCGCGAGGAUUGACAGAGUGAGAUCUCUGUCUUGAUUCGAAGGGUGGUGGUGCAUGGCCGUUCCUAGUUGGUGGAGUGAUUUGUCUGGUUGAUUCCGUUAACGAACGAGACCUCGGCCUGCUAAAUAGCGGGGGGUUCCUCGCGGAACCCGGCGGGCCUUUUCCAGUGCCCGCCCUCGCGCGCUUCUUAGAGGGACAAUUCGGUUCUACCGGAAGGAAGUUUGUG